AGUGAACGCUGGCGGUAGGCCUAACACAUGCAAGUCGAACGGCAGCACAGUAAGAGCUUGCUCUUACGGGUGGCGAGUGGCGGACGGGUGAGGAAUACAUCGGAGUCUACUUUUUCGUGGGGGAUAACGUAGGGAAACUUACGCUAAUACCGCAUACGACCUACGGGUGAAAGCAGGGGAUCUUCGGACCUUGCGCGAUUGAAUGAGCCGAUGUCGGAUUAGCUAGUUGGCGGGGUAAAGGCCCACCAAGGCGACGAUCCGUAGCUGGUCUGAGAGGAUGAUCGGCCACACUAGAACUGAGACACGGUCCAGACUCCUACGGGAGGCCGCAGUGGGGAAUAUUGGACAAUGGGCGCAAGCCUGAUCCAGCCAUACCGCGUGGGUGAAGAAGGCCUUCGGGUUGUAAAGCCCUUUUGUUGGGAAAGAAAAGCAGCAGGUUAAUACCCCGCUGUUCUGACGGUACCCAAAGAAUAAGCACCGGCUAACUUCGUG
This 492-nucleotide ribosomal RNA is filed under the name uncultured bacterium. RNAcentral's name for it is "partial 16S ribosomal RNA". It matches the Rfam family "Bacterial small subunit ribosomal RNA", at positions 29 to 507 of the family's 1533-position model. The record is from RNAcentral.